UACUUCUCAUCCAAUGGUUUAGUUCAGGAUCGUUCAAAUCUGGAUGAUGUUCAGGACUUUACUUUAGGAAGUACUUCACGCCCUCAAGCUGAGAUGAUGCCUUCAAUUGAGCCAGCUUCACCGACAAUCAAUUUCAAAAUUGAAGUGAUUAAUCAGGUGAGUGGGGCGACAGUUGAAGCCGAACAACUGGACGAGCAAACAGUCCGGAUCAUUGUUAAAGAUGAACUGGAUAAGCAGCUUCCAAGAACGGUACCUAAGCUUGUAAGUGAUCAAAUCGCAAAUCCAAACUCAACCAUUAGUCGGUCUUUGACUGAGAAUACGACAGCGAGAAGAAAUCGUACUUAAUAAUUUGAACCCUUUUCGGAGGGUUCAUUUUCAUAAUAUUUAAAUUUCAAGGUGAUAGAGUCUGUUGGCAUUAAAAUUGAUGGUUAAGACAUGAAAAAAAUAAUUGUAAUUUCUACAACACUUUUAGGCCUUACGGGAUGUGCCAUUCCUGCGGUAAAUAAUCUCGUAAGAUCCACAAAUAUGUAUCAGGAUGAUGUUUCGGGAAAUACUGCAAAUUUAAGGGUUUAUAGAAGUAAUAUUCCCAUGGUGCAGUUCUAUAUUACUUAUCAAAAUAAUGAGGGUGAAAAAAUUUCAAAAAACCUAAUAACUAAGCAGAUUUCAAAUAAUUUAACAAAGUAUGGCUCUAUGCAUGAGCCCAAAAAAUUAAAUAUGCCUAAACCCACAAUCAGUUUAAAUAAUGGUGAAGAGUUUUUUGAGUUUAAAGUACCCGCAAAUAAGAAGUUAACUUUCAGGCUUACUUCUGUUAUUGGGUCAACUACUAUGUAUAGUUGUGAUGUAAAAAUGGACUAUCAGUUGGAAAGAAAUGGAAAUUAUGAAUUGAUCCGUUUAAAACAGAUCAAAGAUUUUGUGAAUCCAGCUUUACUGACUGAACCAUCUCAAGAUGAAGCCUACUGCAAGUUUGUAGUAAAAGAGAUUUUUGAAGAUGGUAAAGAAACUAUUAUUAAAUCGAUUUCUUAAUGUUAAAUCGUUUUUGUAAUUAAUUUAAAUAUCUAAACCUUAUUUCAUCAAACCACCUUUCGGGGUGGUUUUUUAUUACCUGAAGGAAAGUUAUGUACAAGUUAAAGCUAAAUCCUCAGACCAGCGGCUAUGGCGUAACACCAGGUGAUGAUGUGAAACGUCAGCA
This 1189-nucleotide ribosomal RNA is filed under the name Acinetobacter baumannii 554515. RNAcentral's name for it is "partial 16S ribosomal RNA". Lineage: Bacteria; Pseudomonadati; Pseudomonadota; Gammaproteobacteria; Moraxellales; Moraxellaceae. The record is from RNAcentral.